ACGAACGCUGGCGGCGUGCUUCACACCUGCCAGUCGCACGGAAAGGCCCUGCUUUUGUGGGGUGCUCGCGUGGCGAACGGGUGAGUAACACGUGAGUAACCUGCCCUUGACUUUGGGAUAACUUCAGGAAACUGGGGCUAAUACCGGAUAGGAGCUCCUGCUGCAUGGUGGGGGUUGGAAAGUUUCGGCGGUUGGGGAUGGACUCGCGGCUUAUCAGCUUGUUGGUGGGGUAGUGGCUUACCAAGGCUUUGACGGGUAGCCGGCCUGGGAGGGUGACCGGCCACAUUGGGACUGAGAUACGGCCCAGACUCCUACGGGAGGCAGCAGUGGGGAAUAUUGCACAAUGGGCGGAAGCCUGAUGCAGCAACGCCGCGUGCGGGAUGACGGCCGUCGGGUUGUAAACCGCUUUCGCCUGUGACGAAGCGUGAGUGACGGUAAUGGGUAAAGAAGCACCGGCUAACUACGUG
This 467-nucleotide ribosomal RNA is filed under the name uncultured bacterium. RNAcentral's name for it is "partial 16S ribosomal RNA". It matches the Rfam family "Bacterial small subunit ribosomal RNA", at positions 29 to 507 of the family's 1533-position model. The record is from RNAcentral.